AACUCAUUCUUCUAUUGAAUUGCUUUGCGGGAGACUGUAAAUUACUCUACAAUAUCAUUUACAAACCAAAACGUUGAGUAUUAUAUUGACAAGAAGUCCUAAAAAUGUGUGUGUCUUAUACGUAACAUCAAUAUACUGUUCCUCGUCCUCCAAUACCUCUUUCACCUCUUUCUUGGUAUCAGACCGGACAUGCGAUUUUGCAUGCGGCUCCAUCAGGUUUAUCAAAAGCAUUCAGUGCUCUGGGAGACUGAAUUCCAGCCUUACGCUGGUCAGGUUACUGUUGCAGGAGAGCACUGGUUGCUGUUGAUUUCCAAACUUCCUGCCCGGAGGAAAUAGUACUGGAAGUGAACGAUCAAUUUUUCCGACAUUAUUUUGAAGCACUUUCUUCAUUGUUUUUAGGAGUCAUAAAGGUUUCGUGAGGAGCAGAUCAUGUAACAUUUGUCUUAGUAAUAGCGGAGGAUAAACAUUUGAGAUAUCUAAUCAUGGAGAGUUAUGGUAAAGUUAAAGGAUUCACGAAAUUGGAUGAAUUGAUUGAAACAAGUAUCAGAACAUAAUCAGCUGCUUGGAGUUCUGGUGAAAAAGAUAAGGAAGAAAUCUAGACACCAAAAAUUUUAUAUGUGGUAUGGUUGUCUCCUAGGAGUACAUUAUAUAGAGUGAAAAAAUCCACUACUCGAUGAAAACAGGAGUUAGAAAGGAAACAAUUAGCAAAAACAGUGGGCUGAAAAAACAAUGUGACACCAGUUAUAAAAAAUAAAACUUUUGCAAUCAACGGCUGAUAAAAACUUUCAUGAAAAAACAACUUUCGCAAUCUACGGCUGUAAAAAAAACCAGAAAUUUGUGCACAUCGGAUUAAAAGAAAACAUGAGGUAUGACGGUUUUAAGAUAACUGCUGAUGCAGGAACAAAACAAUUUUUGCAAUCUACGGCUGUAAAGAAAAACCAUAAAUUUGCGCACAUCGAAUUAAAAGAAACAGGAACUAUUGCAGUUUGAAGAAAACAACUAAUAAAAACCGGCAUGCAGAAAAUACCUUUUGCAAUCUACAGCUGUAAAGAAAACCAGAAAUUUGCGCACAUCAGAAUAAAAGAAAACAGGAAGUGUAACCGUUUCAAGAAAACGGCUAAUAAAAACCUACAUGAGAAAACAACUUUCGUGAUCUACGACUAUAAAGAAAACCAGAAAUUUGAGCAUUUAGGAUUAAAAGAAAACAACAAGUAUAACAAUUUUAAGAAAACAGCUAAUAAAAACCUACAUCAGGAAAACAACUUUUACAAUAUACAACUAUAAAGAAAACCAGGAAUUUGCGCACAUCGGAUUAAAAAAGAGAGGAAAUAUAACAGUUUAAAGAAAACGGUUAAUAAAAACUUGCAAGAAAAAAACAACGUUUGCAAUUUACGACCGUAAAGAAAACCAGAAAUUUGCGCCCAUCAGAUUAAAAGAAAACAUGAAGUAUAACAGUUUUAAGAUAAUGACUAAUAGAAACCCGCAUAAAGAAAAUAUUUUUUUGCACUAUGGGAACCAUAAAUUUGCGCAAAUCAGAUUAAAAAAAAAAAGAAGUAUAACCAUUUUAAGAAAUGAUCGAUAGAAACCUGCAAAAAGAAAACAACUUUUGCAAUCUGCAGCUGUAAAGAUAACAUACACUUCUAUUAUUUCAUUUCUUUUGAACUAUUGUUGAAACAAUUUUCAAUUAAAUUUUAGCACUAUUUUUCAAUUGAUUCAAGUUUAUUCAAUUUUUUAGACUAAAGUUUGUAUGUUUUCUUUACUAUGUGAAAUUGUGCAUUUAAUGGAGACAAUGAUAAUACUUUAUUUCCUACUGUUAUUCAUGAAAUCCUCCUUUCUAAUUAUAAGACUUAGUCAUAAACUGAUUAAUCUGUUUAACCAAACCGUCAAAAACCGCACCGCUUGGUCCGGGUUAGUUGAUUUGCGGGUCACGGGUGGUUUGAAAUUUUAAAAAAUCGAUAAUGUAUGGUUUGGUUCCGGUUCUACCUCUAAUCCGAACCAAACCGGACCGCUAUCACUCCCGAUAAACUGUACUAUAAUUAAAUAUCGAUUACUACUGUGUACUCCUUUGUACUAGUUUUGAAAUAUAAGUCAGUUUGACUUUUUGGCACACACUUCUAAGUCUUUUGACCACAUAGUUAAAAUCAUUAUUUUCAGAAUUUUCUUUUUUUGAAUAAAAAUAUAUGAUUAAUACUAUAAUUCAGAAAAGAAAAAUUUUAAAAAUAAUGAUUUUAGCUAUUCGGUCAAAGAAUUUAGAAGUGUGUGCCAAAAAGUCAAGCGACCUAUAUUUCAAAACGGAGGGUGUAUUACAUAAGUUUCUGAUUUAAUAAACAACAUUUUUUUUAAAGUUUUACACAGGGAGUACAAUUCUUCCUAAUGUAUAUUGUCCAAAUUGCAUAGGACGAUAUUAAAGGAAAAUUUUUUGUACAUAGAAAAAAAUAGAAUAAGAAUUAUAAUAACCCUUAUUUCCAAAAAAAAAAAAGAAUUAUAAUAACCCCUAUUAUUUGAUAUAAAACCAUAAAUUAUAGUAAACUAUAAGGCUGAAGAGUGCAGCAGAAACAUGAGUCAUGUUCCUAAGUUGCUCCAUAUAAGAUCUUCAAGUACUAGUCAUUUAAAUGGUUUACUUGUUCGUCGAGUCUAAUGCUUCCUUGUCAAAUUGGCGAAAAGCCCAUGUGAAUAUAUGCCUAUAGAAAUUUUACAUAAAUAGACAAGGUUGUAGCAAGCCAGUUCUUUCAUCCAGUUAUGAUGCAUCUUUUUAACUUCGCCUCGAAAGUUAUCUCAAAAAUAAAAUUAUAGAAGGACGUUAAAAAUCGAGCAGCAUGCAUGCUGAAAAAAGGAUUGUUUUCACCCAAAUGCAAAGAAAGAAAUAAAAUCGCAAUUGUAUUUUAUGAUAUUAAACUCAUUCUUCUAUUGAAUUGCUUUGCGGGAGACUGUAAAUUACUCUACAAUGUCAUUUACAAACCAAAACGUUGAGUAUUAUACUGACAAGAAGACCUAAAAAUGAGUGUGUCUUAUACGUAACAUCAAUAUAUUGUUCCUCAUCCUCCAGUACCCCUUUCCCCUCUUUCUUGGUAUCAGACCGGACCUGCGAUUUUGCAUGCGGCUCCAUCAGGUUUAUCAAAAGCAUUCAGUGCUCUGGGAGACUGAACUCCAGCCUUAUGCUGGUCAGGUUACUGUUGCAGGAGAGCACUGGUUGCUUUAGACCCUGAACUUCCUGCCCGGAGGAAUUAGUACUGGAAGUGAACGAUCAAUUUUGCCGACAUUAUUUUGAAGCACCUUCUUCAUUGUUUUUAGUAGUCAUAAAAGUUUCGGGAGGAGCAAAUCAUGUAACCAUUGUCUUAGUAAUAGCGGAGGAUAAACAUUUGAGAUAUCUAGUCAUGGAGAGUUAUGGUAAGGUUAAAGGAUUCACGAAAUUGGAUGAAUUGAUUGAAACAAGUAUCAAAACAUAAUCAGCUGCUUGGAGUUCUAGUAAAAAAGAGAAGAAGGAAGAAAUCUAGACAUCAA
This 3501-nucleotide long non-coding RNA is filed under the name Daucus carota (carrot). Its description in RNAcentral is "long non-coding RNA (DCAR_LNC003910)". Lineage: Eukaryota; Viridiplantae; Streptophyta; Magnoliopsida; Apiales; Apiaceae. The record is from RNAcentral.